RNAcentral lists this ribosomal RNA (576 nucleotides) under Kudoa neothunni. RNAcentral describes it as "5.8S ribosomal RNA". Lineage: Eukaryota; Metazoa; Cnidaria; Myxozoa; Multivalvulida; Kudoidae. The record is from RNAcentral.
UGUAUGUAUACCUACACAAUUGAUUUGAAUUGAUUUGAAUUGAAUUGAAUUGAUUUGAUUUAUUCUAUUCAGACGGUUGUGUUGGACAUGAUCACUUGACUUGAGAGUGAGUGAGUGUUGAUGAAUGUUGCGUUUUGUGUGGUCAUGUUCAGUGGGAUUGGUGGUGUGAUUUGACGGUCACUCCACUCAAGUGUAUCGAUAGUACCGCGACAUUAACUGAAACUCUAGUUCGAUCUAAAUGUAAAUCAAAUCUAAUCUAAGCAAUGUAAUGUAGUUAUUAUUAUUAUUAUAUUGGAGGUGAUGAUUGUUGAAUGUGUGAGUGGGUAGAUUAGAUUUUAGAUCAAUUUGAGUUUCCGUCGUCGUUGGACUAUUGACAAAUUACUUUAUGUUGUAUGUGUGUGUGUGUGUGUGUGAAAAGUGAAGUGCAAAGUGAAAGUGAUUUGUACACGGCUUUUGAUUUGGUGUGGAAUGUCGUUUAGUGAGUGUUUGCGUUGGGAAGCAUAAGCAUAGCGUGUAUUCAAGUCGACUGACUACUGACUUGUGAGGAGAAAUACAAAUAGUAAUAAUAAAUGAAUA